This 492-nucleotide ribosomal RNA is filed under the name uncultured bacterium. RNAcentral's name for it is "partial 16S ribosomal RNA". It matches the Rfam family "Bacterial small subunit ribosomal RNA", at positions 29 to 507 of the family's 1533-position model. The record is from RNAcentral.
AGUGAACGCUGGCGGUAGGCCUAACACAUGCAAGUCGAACGGCAGCACAGUAAGAGCUUGCUCUUACGGGUGGCGAGUGGCGGACGGGUGAGGAAUACAUCGGAAUCUACUUUUUCGUGGGGGAUAACGUAGGGAAACUUACGCUAAUACCGCAUACGACCUACGGGUGAAAGUAGGGGAUCUUCGGACCUUGCGCGAUUGAAUGAGCCGAUGUCGGAUUAGCUAGUUGGCGGGGUAAAGGCCCACCAAGGCGACGAUCCGUAGCUGGUCUGAGAGGAUGAUCAGCCACACUGGAACUGAGACACGGUCCAGACUCCUACGGGAGGCAGCAGUGGGGAAUAUUGGACAAUGGGCGCAAGCCUGAUCCAGCCAUACCGCGUGGGUGAAGAAGGCCUUCGGGUUGUAAAGCCCUUUUGUUGGGAAAGAAAAGCAGCAGGUUAAUACCCCGCUGUUCUGACGGUACCCAAAGAAUAAGCGCCGGCUAACUUCGUG